UACGGAGGGUCCAAGCGUUAUCCGGAUUUAUUGGGUUUAAAGGGUGCGUAGGCGGCCAUUUAAGUCAGCGGUGAAAUUUUGCAGCUUAACUGUAACAGUGCCGUUGAUACUGUUUGGCUAGGAUUUGGUUGUAGUGUGCGGAAUGUGUGGUGUAGCGGUGAAAUGCUUAGAUAUCACACAGAACACCGAUUGCGAAGGCAGCACACUAAGUCAUUAUUGACGCUGAGGCACGAAAGUGUGGGGAUCAAACAGGAUUAGA
Molecule: ribosomal RNA, 259 nt
Filed under: uncultured prokaryote
Description: partial 16S ribosomal RNA
Rfam family: Bacterial small subunit ribosomal RNA
Source: RNAcentral